RNAcentral lists this ribosomal RNA (291 nucleotides) under uncultured prokaryote. Its description in RNAcentral is "partial 16S ribosomal RNA". It matches the Rfam family "Bacterial small subunit ribosomal RNA", at positions 524 to 820 of the family's 1533-position model. The record is from RNAcentral.
UACGUAGGGUGCAAGCGUUAUCCGGAUUUAUUGGGCGUAAAGGGCUCGUAGGCGGUUCGUCGCGUCCGGUGUGAAAGUCCAUCGCUUAACGGUGGAUCCGCGCCGGGUACGGGCGGGCUUGAGUGCGGUAGGGGAGACUGGAAUUCCCGGUGUAACGGUGGAAUGUGUAGAUAUCGGGAAGAACACCAAUGGCGAAGGCAGGUCUCUGGGCCGUUACUGACGCUGAGGAGCGAAAGCGUGGGGAGCGAACAGGAUUAGAUACCCGGGUAGUCCCUGAGCGGGCUGGCAAGG